UCUAAUAUGGCAGAAUAGUGCAAUGAGCUUAAGCCUCAUACAUAAAGAACAAUCUUUUAUUAGAA
This 65-nucleotide transfer RNA is filed under the name Neuroctenus hainanensis. Its description in RNAcentral is "tRNA-Leu". The record is from RNAcentral. Lineage: Eukaryota; Metazoa; Arthropoda; Insecta; Hemiptera; Aradidae. RNAcentral also lists the same sequence under 2 other names.